UGGCUCCCCGUGAGCAAUGUUCUCCUAAAUCCUGCUGUGCUGUGCCAUUUAAUUGACAAACCACAGCCCCAGUCAUAACCAUAGAAGAGACCUUCUAUUGAUCCUCUGAGACAAGUGGAGCGCAGACACUGGCAACAAGGUAGACAAAAUGAAAAGGUACACCUAUUUCUUCAGUCAGGAAAUCAAUGGUCCUGUCAAAACUCAUUUAUGGUGAGUUAUAUCCCCCUUCUGCUAAUAGGUGGGAAAGUAAAUGGGUUGAUUCCAUCAUGCAAAAGUCAAUAUAAUGCGCAAUUGCUAGAAUAUGUAUGGGGCCUAGCAAGCAAGAGAGAAAGAUGUGGAAACAUGGGAAUGAAGUUCACAGGAGUGUCCAACUGUCUCGACAUAUUUGGCAAGUUGCAAGGUUCACCUCUUUGGUAUUUCUCUAUUAAAAUGGCAGAAUGCCCAGUCAAGGCUCUCUUGAAAAGUCAAGGCCUUUCUGAAUGCUAUCCUUCUGAUAUAUUAGAAGUUCAUCUAAGACUCUAUCUCAAAGUUCAAAAAUAUUUGUUUUCUGAUGUGCAAUUUGGAGUUUGGACGAGCAAAAUAAAAUGCAAUAUUACCAUUAUCUAAAUCUACAUUAUCUAAAUGUAGGAAAACAUGAUGCUUUACAAAGCCCUGCGUUUUUUUCCUUGCUUUUUAUUCAAGCUGUAACAACAUGAAAACAAUGUGGCUUUCUUCAAAUUACAGUGGUACCUUGGUUUGCUAACAGAAUGCCUUCCGGGAGUCCGUUCAACGCCCAGAACCAUUCGAAAACCAAAGCAUGGCUUCCAAUUGCCUGCAGGAGUGUCCUGUAGCCAAGCGGAAGCCGCGGAAGCCGCGCCGGAUGUUCGGCUUUCGAAUAUCAUUCAAAAACUGGAACACUCACUUCCAGGUUCCUAUCAUUUGGGAGCCAAUUUGUUUGGGAGCCAAGGCAUUCAGCUUCCAAUAAAAACCAACAAUAAACUAAUAACCAAUAUGUUUUUACAUUGUUAAGGUUAUAAUCUGGCAUUUCAGAAAGGUGCUAGUGAAUAACAAAAUAAACAAUUUUUUUUGGGGGGGGGGGUUUAAGUGUCUAUCUAGGCAGGCUUCGAUUUCCCCCUCCCCCCGCUUCUAUUUUCUGGAAUUUUUACCAUAAUAAUGUGUCUAUAUUUGCUAUCAUACAGCCUUAAACCUUGUUUAGUAUUAAUGCAAGCUUUAACGCUUGUCUACAAUCCAAAUCUUCAUGGGCCCAAUGCACCAGAACUGCAUUAAGGGCACUGGAGUGACUCAGAUUCCAAUUCAUCCUAAUUUGUAUCUGGCUUCUAAAAUGACAUGGGAAUUUGAGGUCAAGGAACUAGGAAGGCAGGGAAAUCAAACUGGUUUCAAUAGAAACACAGAUUUUAUCAUUUGAUGACCGUAAUACUGGGCUUAUUUUGAAUUCACCUCACAAACAUUCAGUCAAUUUAGGUGCAUUUAUUUUGUUCAGAACCAUGGUGUUUUAUCUGAUUUUUAAACCAGUGGCCCACAGAGAGCCCAGGGUAGUGCAUAUGUUUUAUUCUCACAACAAUCCUGUGAAGCAGAAUAGGCUGAGAGAGUGAGUGAUCGGUCCAAGUGUGUCUAAUGUCUGAAUGGUGAUUUUUGAACCAGGUCUUUCCAGUGAAUCUAUAUCCACACCCUCACCACACCCACACCCUGAAGAACUGAGGCAAUGGAAGCACAGAUGGGAUACAGCAGACAGGAUGAAGGAAGUGAGGACCGGCCCUAUCGUUAGACGGAUGAGGUGGCUGCCUCGGGCCACUGCUUUUGCUUGUCAUGAAUGGGAGGCAAACGGCUAUGAUACAAUUUAUUCAUUUAUUCUUACCGUCAUGAUGGGUGGGGGAUCGAUCCUUGUGGGAUUUUUUACCUCAGGUCCAAAAUUACUUGGCUGCUCUUGACUACCACGCAGACUUUUCUUGAGAUGUGUCCGCACCAUUUUCUGCUCUGCUUCAGGCAGAAAAAUGUCUUGGGCUGGCCCUGAAAGAGUACAGCAAACUAUUAAAAAUGCCCCCUCUGCCCUUUAAACCCAAC
Molecule: long non-coding RNA, 2061 nt
Filed under: Podarcis lilfordi (Lilford's wall lizard)
Lineage: Eukaryota; Metazoa; Chordata; Lepidosauria; Squamata; Lacertidae
Source: RNAcentral